AUCCAGCUGACGAGCCCCAAAUUGGACGAAACGCGCGUCCCGGAU
Molecule: non-coding RNA, 45 nt
Filed under: Schistosoma curassoni
Lineage: Eukaryota; Metazoa; Platyhelminthes; Trematoda; Strigeidida; Schistosomatidae
Source: RNAcentral